AACCCAUGAUGAGGGCACCUUCUCAAAGGAUCUUUAACUCUUCCACAUGCAUCAUACAAUGUAUCCAUAUCAAAUUGAACAAAAGAAGAGAUUUCGUCUCUCAACUU
This is a small nucleolar RNA of Gossypium arboreum, 107 nucleotides long. It matches the Rfam family "Plant small nucleolar RNA R71". Rfam says of the family: R71 is a member of the C/D box family of snoRNAs containing the C (UGAUGA) and D (CUGA) box motifs. The record is from Rfam. NCBI's taxonomy places the organism in Eukaryota, Viridiplantae, Streptophyta, Magnoliopsida, Malvales, Malvaceae.